Molecule: long non-coding RNA, 1536 nt
Organism: Pogoniulus pusillus (Red-fronted tinkerbird)
Lineage: Eukaryota; Metazoa; Chordata; Aves; Piciformes; Lybiidae
Exons: 2
Source: RefSeq, a predicted model, not a curated record
UGUUUACUCAUGCGACCGCACCGUCCCUUUUGGAUUAUCUGGAAGGCUGUGGAAACUGAGUCCAUUCACAGAUAUGGAGCAAAGAUACUCUCAUGCUGGCCACAGAGAAUGGUGCAGAGGCUAUCUACACUGAUUCUUAUGCAACAUUUAAAGGGACCACUGAGUGGAUCUGACAGUGGGAGGUAGGCUACACCAAAGUCUGGAGGGCAGGAGAUUGGCAAAGGCUGUUGGAAAUCAGCCAGACCCAUCAAGGGGGGGGUCGGUCAAAGGGCACUCCAAAAGGGAUGCUCCUGCUGCUACAUGGAAUCAGCAGGUGGAUUAUCUGGCCAGGAUAAAUGUGGUUAGCACUGAGCAAAAAGACUGGGAAAGGUUGGCUGAGUGCUUAAAGAAGGACACUCAAGAAGAUCCAACCUCUAUUGAGUGCCAUUCUCCUGGUUGGCCUGUCUCCAUGGCAACAUACCAGAUCGUUAUUUUGGCUUGUUCACAAUGUAGCAUAAGGCUGAAAGCAAAUCAUCCUAUCCUUGCCCCAGCCCAGCAUAUCAAGCAGGGUAAGACCCUGUGGAGCACAUGGCAAGUGGACUACAUGCUAUUCACUUGGCUUUGUGGCUGCACUGAGAACACAAUUUGGGAUUAUAAUUUCCUCGGCUAUUGUCUCAACACAGUGGCUCAGACUGAUGAGAUACUGCUCGGUGAGUAAAUUUGGCUAUUGAUUCAUUGAGUUCCCUGCCAGUAGCUCUGUUUGAGAGCAAAGGGGUCCGUCUUGUGGCUGGCACAGUGAUUGCUCUCCAGCUCUGAAUUGUGUGUUGAAUUUUUUUUCCCUCCCUUCCCUGAAUUUCUUUCAGAAAUUGCUGUUGUACAUUUUGUGUAAAUAAUUCCCAGCUGGGUACCUGAACCUUUAAUAAAUUGCAAAUGGUUUAUCGUCCUUGAUUUUUGUUUGCUUGUUUUGGUGCAGAAUUUGUGUUAAUAAAGCUUUGUAAUUUUGUAUUCAAGAAUAUAAAUUUUGAGUAUUUCUAGCACUUCCACAAAGAAACCUAACUAUAGCUGAGAGAGUUUAAAUUCAGAGUGUAUAAUACAAGCUGUUAGCAGUUUCUGUUUCAGGUACAAUGUGGCAUCAAAAGAAAGAAUCGACAAGGAAUCUACAGUACACAAGCACAAAUCCUAAAUCACCUGGGAGUCCCUGUUUUCAUCUCAUCUGUGAAGAGACAAACUGUUCCCUGUUUUCUGAGCUUUUGUAUCACCUACAUCUGAGAUAGCCAGAAUGAAGAAUGAACUGAAAAUACAGACUUCACUAAAAUAUUGUUUUAGAUUGACAUAUAAUUUUAUGUGAAACAAUGAAUGAUAUAGAGGGCUGGAUUGUGCUGGUUUGAGGCUAAUUUGAAUAUUUUAAUGAGAGAAAUUAGAUCAAUGGUUGUGAAAAGUAAUAAUGACAUCUAUAUCAUUCAUUGGUUGGCUGAAAGGGAUAAAAAGCCAAAAGGUUGUCUCGGUUCUAAUUUAAAUUCCCAGAGACUCAAAUAUAUUUGAUAGAACCAAUAAUAA